Molecule: long non-coding RNA, 578 nt
Filed under: Mytilus galloprovincialis (Mediterranean mussel)
Lineage: Eukaryota; Metazoa; Mollusca; Bivalvia; Mytilida; Mytilidae
Source: RNAcentral
UGGACGGACUGACGGAAGGAAUCUUGUAGUUACUUGUUCCUUGGCCGGCGUUGACUAUACUUUUGUUUUAUCUUCUUUUUUUUUUUAUCUAAAGCUGUUCAUCUUUUUUAUAAGCUUUUAAUUUUCAAAUAGUUUUAGGCUCGAGCAUCAAUGAAGAUACAUUUAUUGUAGAAAUGCGCAUUUGGUAAAGAAAAAUUGGUACUGUUAAUGGUACACAUUUAGUUGGAAUAUCACAGUUACUUUAUAGGAGAUUUAUUAAGCAAAAGAGUUCCGAUACAAUCAAAGCCACCUCAUAAGAUUCAUCACAAGAUAAAACGUUUUAAAAAUGAUUAAAAAUUAAAAUGAUUCUUAUGAUAAAAUGAGUCGAAGUACAGCAUUGUGUAAACGGACGAGAUUUUGUUUUACAGAAAUUAUCACUGCCUAUUAGUAUUUAUGGAAUAACUUUCACCAGGUAUGCUUGUAACCUAAAGUGUGGAAAGCAAACUACUAGUAAAUAUCACUUUCUGGGGAAUAAAGUCCAGACUAAAAUAUGGAAAGCAAAUAACAACGGUAGAAAUCAUAAACAACUAAUAAAAGAA